UACGUAGGGUGCGAGCGUUGUCCGGAAUUAUUGGGCGUAAAGAGCUCGUAGGCGGUCUGUCGCGUCGAUCGUGAAAACUUGGGGGCUUAACCCUGAGCUUGCGGUCGAUACGGGCAUGACUGGAGUUCGGCAGGGGAGACUGGAAUUCCUGGUGUAGCGGUGAAAUGCGCAGAUAUCAGGAGGAACACCGGUGGCGAAGGCGGGGUCUCUGGGCCGAUACUGACGCUGAGGAGCGAAAGCGUGGGGAGCGAACAGG
RNAcentral lists this ribosomal RNA (256 nucleotides) under uncultured bacterium. RNAcentral's name for it is "partial 16S ribosomal RNA". It matches the Rfam family "Bacterial small subunit ribosomal RNA", at positions 524 to 776 of the family's 1533-position model. The record is from RNAcentral.